CCUCCAGCCAACAUAAAUCCCUUCCUCUAAUCCCUUCUACACGUUUCCUUUAUUCAUCAAAACCUCCACCCCUAAAAUAUCUCCAACAACCAAAUAAAUCAAUAUCCAUCAGUUUAAUAUCUCACAUUCACGUCUUCCACAUCCAAGAAAAAUCUGUGAAAAAAACUUACUGCAGUUUUCUCCUUUUCUGUUAAGUGUAAAGGAGAAACUGGGAGAGCUGUUUUUACCUUCUAUUGUGCAAACUUUUUCUUCUUCCCAAAGGGUGAACUUGUGCACGUUGUUGCGGUUGGAACAGGAAGUGUUUGGGGUGUUAAGCUGUUGAG
This is a long non-coding RNA of Salvia splendens (bonfire salvia), 323 nucleotides long. RefSeq lists it as uncharacterized. Lineage: Eukaryota; Viridiplantae; Streptophyta; Magnoliopsida; Lamiales; Lamiaceae. The transcript has 3 exons. The record is from RefSeq and is a predicted model, not a curated record.